AGUGAACGCUGGCGGUAGGCCUAACACAUGCAAGUCGAACGGCAGCACAGUAAGAGCUUGCUCUUACGGGUGGCGAGUGGCGGACGGGUGAGGAAUACAUCGGAAUCUACUUUUUCGUGGGGGAUAACGUAGGGAAACUUACGCUAAUACCGCAUACGACCUACGGGUGAAAGCAGGGGAUCUUCGGACCUUGCGCGAUUGAAUGAGCCGAUGUCGGAUUAGCUAGUUGGCGGGGUAAAGGCCCACCAAGGCGACGAUCCGUAGCGGGUCUGAGAGGAUGAUCAGCCACACUGGAACUGAGACACGGUCCAGACUCCUACGGGAGGCAGCAGUGGGGAAUAUUGGACAAUGGGCGCAAGCCUGAUCCAGCCAUACCGCGGGGGUGAAGAAGGCCUUCGGGUUGUAAAGCCCUUUUGUUGGGAAAGAAAAGCAGCAGGUUAAUACCCCGCUGUUCGGACGGUACCCAAAGAAGAAGCACCGGCUAACUGCGU
Molecule: ribosomal RNA, 491 nt
Filed under: uncultured bacterium
Lineage: Bacteria
Description: partial 16S ribosomal RNA
Rfam family: Bacterial small subunit ribosomal RNA
Source: RNAcentral